Molecule: long non-coding RNA, 2676 nt
Organism: Oncorhynchus tshawytscha (Chinook salmon)
Lineage: Eukaryota; Metazoa; Chordata; Actinopteri; Salmoniformes; Salmonidae
Source: Ensembl
CUUUGACACACUCCUCUUACUGAUACUACACAUAGACACACAAAAACACACGCAAGCACUCAGACACACAGAGAAAAAACAGCCAGACACACAGAGAAAAAAUUGCCCGACACACAAACACAGUCCUCAUGUGACACCAAACAGAGGAGGAUUUGGUAUGGGAAAGAAUCGGUGAGUACUCACCUCAGGCUCCCCCUGUGCUCCGCGGCUCCACUGCAGAAUGGGUUGGUUACGCCGUACACACACUCACACUAAAACACUCCGGCUGUGUGUGAAGACAAUGAGACCGGGCAAGUGAGGGAGCAGCAGGCAAAGAGAAAAAGAAGGGAGGUGUGAGGAGGGGGGAUUGGAAAGAGUGAUAGAGAGAGAGAGAGAGAAGGGGUUGUAUGGAAGAUAUAUGGUGUUCUUAUAGCCUAUGUGGAGAGAUGGAGAGAUGGAGGAGAGGAGAGAUGGAGGAGAGACAUAGGAGUAGAGAGAUGGAGGAGAGAAGAGAUGGAGGACAGAAGAGAUGGAGGACAGAAGAGAUGGAGUAGAGGAGAGAUUGAGUAGAGGAGAGAUGGAGUAGAGGAGAGAUUGAGGGGAGAUAUAGGAGUGGAGAGAUAUAGGAGUGGAGAGAUGGAGGAGUGGAGAGAUGGAGGAGUGGAGAGAUGGAGGAGUGGAGAGAUUGAGGAGAGAUGGAGGAGAGAUGGAGUAGAGGAUAGAUGGAGGAGAGGAGAGAUGGAGGAGAGGAGAGAUGGAGGAGAGGAGAGAUGGAGGAGAGGAGAGAUUGAGUAGAGGAGAGAUUGAGUAGAGGAGAGAUUGAGGAGAGAUGGAAUAGAGGAGAGAUGGGGGAGAGGAGAGAUGGAGUAGAGGAGAGAUUGAGGAGAGGAGAGAUUGGGGGAGAGGAGAGAUUGAGGAGAGAUGGAGGAGAGGAGAGAUGGAGGAGAGUGGAGAGAUGGAGGAGAGUGAAGAGAUGGAGGAGAGUGAAGAGAUGGAGGAGAGAUGGAGGAGAGUGAAGAGAUGGAGAAGAGAUGGAGGAGAGUGAAGAGAUGGAGGAGAGUGAAGAGAUGGAGGAGAGUGAAGAGAUGGAGGAGAGAUGGAGGAGAGUGAAGAGAUGGAGGAGAGUGAAGAGAUGGAGGAGAGAUGGAGGAGAGUGAAGAGAUGGAGGAGAGAUGGAGGAGAGUGAAGAGGGCAAAGAGGGAAAAAAUAAAUGGGUGCUAAAAACAAAAAAUCCUGAAAAAAAGGGUCCCAGACGAAGCCAGGUUUCUCUCAUUCUGUUCUUUUGUGUGUGAGUGAGUGUGUGAGUGAGUGUGUGCGUGUGUGUGUGCGUGUGCGUGUGUGUGUGUGCGUGUGUGUGUGCGUGUGCGUGUGUGUGUGUGUGCGUGUGUGUGUGUGUGUGUGUGUGUGUGUGUGUGUGUAUUUGGCACUUUGCCCUAAGAGAGAGACAGACCAGAAAGCAAAGAGGUUGAAGGGGCUGACAGUAUGAGAAUUUGUUUGUUCGUCAAUUGACUUCUGUCUUGUGCAUUCUUCUCAGUCUGGGUGACUUGCUGAUGUUGUGAAGGGGCCGAUGUCUUUUCUCCUCGUCUCUUCUCUCCUCUUCUCUGUCUUGUCGUUUAUUUGCUCACUCUGUCCAUCCACAUCACUGGUUGGGCUUCAAGUGAAAGCAGUACUUUCCUUCUUUUCUCCCCUCACACCCCUUCUCAGGGAAAUACUUCUACCGGAUUAGUGCUCUACUGUACUACCUUUUUCUCUCACUCCCUCUUUCCUUUUCUCAUUUUUCUGUCAUGCCCAGUUCACACUAGUGUGGUACACCCCCACCCAAAGCCCCUAGGGAUAAGUCAGAGACACACUCAUCCACACACACACUCGCACACAACCAGGUGUGUGAAGGAUUGGGAGAGCUCACAGAAAAGCCAAUCUCCACUCCCAAUUAUUCUGCUCUCAAGUCGCCGGAUGGAGAGAAGGAGAGAGAGAGAGCGAAGGAAGGAGAGAAAAUCUCUUUGAGUGUCUGCACAGAGGGGAAUUAAUUAGAAUGGAAAGAAAGAUAGAGUGGGUCUCUCUCGUUCCUCUGCUGGAGUCCUGAGAAUACUCCACAAUUAGCCAGAGUCCCAAACACAGCCUGCAGGGCUGGAGACAGGAGAGAGGGAAGGAGGGAAAAGAGAUAGAGAAAGAGAGGGAAAGAGAUUAAACCGAAAUGAAAAAUGCCAAAGGGACAUUUAGAAGCAGAAGUUGUUAGGAAAUGAUUUGAGUUUUUAUAUAUAUACCCGUCACACGGACUGGCUGUCCGGAGUGCAAUUCCUUUUUUCUCUCUUCUCUAUUCGUCUUUUUCUUUUCUCCUCCACUCCUCCAUACGUCCAUGGGGCUCUGGAUAAUCCAUAGAGGAAACUGGAACGUUUGGAGUAUCUUAAAUGGACAGAGUUCACUCUUCCUCUCUUUCUCCACUCUUUUUCCUCUCCUCUACCUCUUCCAGCUUGUUGGCUGAUCAUUUUCUUGACCACGGUGGUGACACAGAGUGUGUGGGUUAGAAGGGCGUGGGGGCUGGAGAGAAAAAAAGAAGGAUGGCUGGAUGGAUGGAGUGAGAGGGAAUAAGAUACAGGUGGAGUGAUGACACUGGGAGAAAUAGGAGCGAUGGAGGCAGGUGGAAGGGAUGAAGUGCAGCAGUCUGUGUGUGUGUGUGUGGAGGGGGGAUCCUUUCCC